Molecule: unclassified non-coding RNA, 80 nt
Filed under: Escherichia coli
Lineage: Bacteria; Pseudomonadati; Pseudomonadota; Gammaproteobacteria; Enterobacterales; Enterobacteriaceae
Description: IS009
Source: RNAcentral
UGUAUGCGGCAUCUUGUCGUGCUGGUGGUGGAAGCCUAGAAAAAGUAUCGGGUGUUGCUGAACCGUGUUGAUACAUCAAC